GUGCCUACGGGACGCAGCAGUGAGGAAUAUUGGUCAAUGGCCGAGAGGCUGAACCAGCCAAGUCGCGUGAGGGAAGACGGCCCUACGGGUUGUAAACCUCUUUUGUCGGGGAGCAAAGCGAACCACGUGUGGUUCAUUGAGAGUACCCGAAGAAAAAGCAUCGGCUAACUCCGUGCCAGCAGCCGCGGUAAUACGUAGGUGGCAAGCGUUAUCCGGAUUUAUUGGGCGUAAAGGGAGCGCAGGCGGUCUUUUAAGUCUGAUGUGAAAGCCUUCGGCUUAACCGGAGUAGUGCAUUGGAAACUGGG
RNAcentral lists this ribosomal RNA (305 nucleotides) under uncultured bacterium. RNAcentral describes it as "bacterial SSU rRNA". It matches the Rfam family "Bacterial small subunit ribosomal RNA", at positions 335 to 637 of the family's 1533-position model. The record is from RNAcentral.